GGACAGGAAGAUGGUUGGCGACCUGACUGGGGCCCAGGCCUAUGCCUCCACCGCCAAGUGCCUGAACAUCUGGGCCCUGAUUUUGGGCAUCCUCAUGACCAUUCUGCUCAUUGUCGUCCCAGUAUUGAUCUUCCAAGCCCAUCAAUAGGUCAGGAGACAUCAUUCAGGCCAGGAGCUCUGCCCAUAACCUGUGUCCCACGUGCUCCACCUUCCAUUCCUCGCCCUGCCCCCAGAGCCGAGUUCUGUAUCAGCCCUUUAUCCUCACACACUUUUCUACAAUGGCAUUCAAUAAAGUGCACAUGUUUCUGGUGCUGCUGUGACUUCACCUGGGGAGGAGUCCUGCUCUGGGUCCUGAGCGUGGAUCUGAGACCUAGCAGUGUGGUCAGCCCCUGCACUGCCCCUUCUGGCCUCUGCAGCUCUUGGGGACCGGGCAAGUGCUCAGGCCUUCUGGUUUCCGGCCUCCUGCUGUGGGCAGCAGCUGGAUCCAGGGCCCUGGGAGGAGUUCCUGUGUCCUGGAAGUCUCAGCUCCGACUCAAGGUAGGCUCUUUUCGGGAACGUCAGUGCUGAGUCAGGGACACCCUGGGCCCAAGGAUACUCUCUUGGCCUGUGAGCAAUCCAGGCUGUCGGCUGAGGACAGAGGGAAGGGCUUGAGCCCCCAGCAGGGCCAGGAAGGGGCAAGGUGGCACCGGCUCCCCAGCUGCUCCCAGGCCCUGCUCUGUGGUGCUGGGGGCCUGGCUUUAGUUCCUCGGGGUGGAGGGAGCACCGAGCUGUCUGGAGCAGCCAGUCCUGCACAUGUGGGCGGCUCAGGCCCCGUGGGAGGGAGGGGGCUUUGUGCCCAGGGCAGCAGCUGAAGGAGCCCCGGGCCUCGUAGGCCCUCCUGGGUGACCCAGGUGCUGCUUCGUGGCAACUGCCGCCUCCAGUCCAGGGGGCAUCGUCCCUGCUCCCCCGCGGUGGGGGCGGCACAGGAGCAGUGGAGCUGCCCUCAUGCAAGUUCCCUCCACCCGGGUCUGGCCCCUGGACAGACUCCCCCGCCCCGACCUGGUUACAGCGCCCUUCCCCCGUUCGGUCUCCGGUGUGGGCGUCUGGGGUGCCCCGUGGGCGGCCGCGGGAGGAGCUGGGGUGGCCACGCGCGCCCGCCCCGCCGUCCGCCCCCGGCGCCAGGUCUGGAUCUACUCCCCGUCCCCUCCCGUGCCCGCCCCAGACCCGGAGCCGCGCUCUCGGCCCAGGGGUCCAGGCGCCCUCUCCCCUCGGGGUCUCCCGGAGCUGAGUUCCGAAGGGGGCGAACUCCGAAGUGGGCCCGGGUGGGGGGCGCGGCCCCGCCGGGCGGGGAGGGAGAAGCGGCGGAGGCGGGAGCUCAGCGGCGCCCCUGGCGGCGGCCGGCGCAGGUGCAGGUCCCGGGGGAGGCUCCGCCCGCAGCCCGGACCCCGGGGGGUGCGCGGGACGCGGACCCGGAGACCCGCAGCGCCUGCCGAGCACGGGCGUCCCUCUCCUCCCCCUCGGGCACGUCCCCGGCCGAGCCUUCCGGCCCCGCUCUGGGGCUCCCACCUCCCCUUCACCCGCGGGGGGCCCGAUUUCCGCGUCUCCGGGGCCCCUCCCUGGGCCGGGGCUCCAGCUGAAUCCAGGAGGGACCUGUGGGAGGACUUGGUGGUCCGGGAAUCACCCCGGGAGCCCGGUCCUGUGACCCCACAAUGGGUUCUCUUUGCGCUCCGGGACAGAGCCCGUGGGUCGCAUCGGGGCAGGGGACUUGCAAUAAGGAAAGUGGAAUUCGCGCAGAGCCGGCUGCAGGGGAGACCCGAGUUUUGUUAUUACUCAAAUCCGUCUCCCCCAAAACGUGGGGAUCCGCGUUUGGAAGGAUGAUUUGGUGGGUAGGCGGCCAGUGAGUCAGGAGUGCUGACCGGGCCGGUUGGAGAUGAAGCCUUGGGGAGUCCAAGCUGUCUUCCCAACCCUAACCCAGUUCCUGGGUAGGGGCCACAGGACCAGCGGAGCCAGACUGGGGGUCUGGGUGGUGGCAGCUGAUCCACUGAGUGCGGGGUCUGUAAAGUAUCUCAAACUCUGAUCCUAGGUUCCACAGUCGUGCUGUGAUCCUCGGGAGCAACUUGGGGGCUGGCGGGGUCAGAAUCUUCCAUCCUCCAGCUGCGUGACUCCUAAACCAUCAUUUCUAAUCGUGCGGCGAAUGUGUUAGUCCUGCAAAGGCAAACUAGUCCCCAGGCAGGAAGGGGGCUUGUUCAGCCUUCAUCGAUAAACGCUUCUCCCCAGAUCAGUUUAGGCGAAGCCCAGGGAUGAGCAAGGACAGCUUGGAGGUUAGGAGCCAGACGGAGUCGGUUAGGUCAGACCUCCUUCACUGUCGUGAUGACUUUGGAAAGGGUGGUUUCAUUUCCAUGCCUGCCCCUCAGAAUCCUGCCUCCCUCUUGUGCCCUGCAGUGUCUUCCUCCUUAAACUGCAAAACACCUUCCACAGGAAAUUGAAGCCGCACCCCACUCUGCAGUCACGUGUGGCCUUUGAUAGGAGGUCACGAAGCCUUGCAGGGAGUUUGUUUAGGCAGCCCUGGAUGUCUCAGAGCAAGCUCCAUCCGCAUCCACCCCUGGCUUGCCGGUCUAAGUGGCCUGGGAUGUGGUUGGGGCUGGCAGUGGCCUGUUGGGGAUUGGGUGGAGGGUGGCGGGGUUGGUGUGCGAUUUGGGGAGGCCCAGCAGUGACUCCAAGCAAGGGCGAGGGCGAGUUCUUUUUUUUUUUUUUUUUUGGCUGCAAUGGGUAGGGAGGGGCUGAUGGUUUUGGAGCUCAGUUUUUGAGAUGGAAGUCUGCUAAUGCUCCCGUCUGAAUAAAGGCCAAAUAAAGCACUUUCCUUCCGCUA
Molecule: non-coding RNA, 2848 nt
Organism: Chlorocebus sabaeus (green monkey)
Lineage: Eukaryota; Metazoa; Chordata; Mammalia; Primates; Cercopithecidae
Source: RefSeq, a predicted model, not a curated record